UAACUUAUUUUUAAAAGUUCUCCAAAGAAAUCAGGUUCAACUAUCAGUAUGUCAGGUUUAACCCCUGACAUAAGUAUAUAACUCUGCAAAAGAAACACGGAGACAGAGAUUAGAAUUCAACUCGCUGCGAGGAGAGGUGUUCGGAGAUGCAACCAGUCACAUGCCCCAAACAAACUCUGGCUUGCAUUCCGCUCUCCCCGCUUUUUAUUUAGGGAAAGCCCUGGUUACAGAUGAUUUCUAAAGGUGGGGGAGCAAACAGGCUGAAACUGGUUUACAGUAUGCAUUCCUCUUCCUUCUCCAGAUGCCCCCAACUGGCCUUCUUCUCCUUAUAAGGUAAUGGUCAGCAUGCAUUGUUGACACCAGCUACUCURUCUGCUGGCGUCCUGAAACGGGGGUGGUUUUACAAUCCACAUGAAACAAAUAUGUGACACAAGUUYCUACUAAAUCCACACACUAUUCAUAAACAGAAGAGAUACUUUUAUAGAUAACUACAUUAUUUAGAAUGAAAACUAAUAAGUAGAAAAAGAUAAUAUAACAUUUAUCCAACA
Molecule: non-coding RNA, 548 nt
Organism: Poecilia reticulata (guppy)
Lineage: Eukaryota; Metazoa; Chordata; Actinopteri; Cyprinodontiformes; Poeciliidae
Source: RefSeq, a predicted model, not a curated record